GGUGUGGUUUUCUUUCUUUAUUUCUUCUUGAUAAAAAGAAUCAGUUUGCUUUUUAAUCUAAUUUGCAGGGAUUAAUUUACUUAUUCUUUGAGUAAAAGGAGCAAAAUAGAAUCUGACUCUUAUAUUGGGAUCUCCAUGAUAGUUUUACCUAUUUCACAUUUUGAUUGGUUUUUUUAUAGAAACUGGGAACUAUCUGCACCAUGGUGGAAAAGCCAGAUCAAGGUACCUGUAAAGUUUGCAAUGGGGGACCUUGAUCUUGUGUAUACAAUGCCUGGUAUGAAGGAUUAUAUUCACAACGGUGGGUUCAAAAGGGAUGUGCCCUUCCUUGAAGAAGCUCUUGUCAUCAAUGGAGUUUCUCAUUGGAUCCACCAAGAAAUACCUGAUCAAAUCAAUCAAUUAUUGUUCGACUUCUUCUCCAAGUUCCAUUAAAUUUUAAUAAUAAUAACAAAAUCCAAAUUUAGUAAAAAUAGAAAAAAAAAACAUGUUCUUCGUUUGUUGUUUUUAAUUUUUAAGUCCAAAGGUUGAUUCGAAAUUUGAGAGGAUUAAAAAGAAUAUUAGAUCCAAAAAAUAGGUUUGGAUAAAAAUAUUAGUUUUGUUUAACAUAUAAAUCAGGUUUAGGCUUGAUCUUUCAAUGUUUGAGCUCGACCUGAUUAUUAAGGUUAUAAUAUAUUGUUACUUUUAUAUAUGAUGUAAUAUAGUUAUCUACAAAUAUAGACGAACUUGAAUAAGAUUUUAAGUUUAUAUUUCGAGUUCGAUUAAACUUAAACAAGUAUAAAUUAUAUUAAUAUUACAUUUUAAAUUCAGCCUAACUUAUAACACUUUUGUUUCAAUUAUUGUUUUUUUAGUGAAAAUUAUUAUUUUUUUGUUGAAAAUAAAGAGUAUUUUAACAGAAUUUAUUUUAUCAUUUAAAUAAUAUGACAGUAUUCACAUGAUAAUAUACGUUUAUAUUAAUAAAAUUAAUAAAUAUUAAUUUUAUUUAUUUAUUUUAGAUGGUUUGACAAAUAACGAACUAAAAAAGGGAAAGAGCUAAACCAAUAAAAUCGAGAUCACGAUGUAUCAUGUUUAUUAUUUUGAUAGUAGGACAAGCAUUUAAGAUAACAUGAUAAGAUAUGAACUGUUUAAAACAUGUGAGACCCACCAAUUAGCAGCAACUUCCGCCCGUGUGUUGUUGAUUUGCAAUAAACGUUUGCCAUUUUGAAGACGAAAACUAACCGUCUUGAUGCAGUUGCGUAGCUUGACAAUGUUAUUUGGGUCGACAAGGGAGCAGGCCGUUCCAUAACCAUAAUCAUAAUCUCCUUUCCUGCAUGAUAUGUGGAUGUUGUUUUAAAUAGAUUGAUUAGAUCAAGAAUAGAUUAAAGUAUUAAUUUAGAAAAUGAUUUUAAAUCGAUUAAAUUAGGAAUCGGCAUGAGUCAGUCCAAUUGAAUUUUUUAAAACUUUUAAUUUGAAUUUGAAUUGACGAAUCGAUGACUUGACCAAUUUUACAUAGAUCUGUCCAUUGGUUGGACUGAGUCUUGAAAAAAUUUUGGACUGUUAGAUAGAUCCAGGCUUGGCCCGACUUGACUCAAAAAAUAGAUUUAAAAUUUUAUCGAAAGCCGACCUAGAUAAAAAUGUUAAAAUUCAGAUUCAGUCUGGCCCGACUCGUAUUAAAUUUUUUAAAAAUAUAUAAUAUAUCAACAACACUAAAAACAUUAAAAUAAAUAUUUCUUAACAAUUUGAAAAUAAAUUUAAAAAACUUUAUACUUAAAUAACUGUAAGAUAAGUACAACUUAAUAAGUAAAUGUCUCUAAAAUAAUAGUAAAAUUAAAAUAAAAUAAGAGUUAUAUAAUGUCCAAACAACAACAACAAAAUAAUAACAUAAUAUUGAAAUGAUAGCAAAACAAUAAAAAAAUAACAAAAAAAGUAGUGAAAAAACAAGAAAACGGUAGAUCCUUUUUUCUUUUUACAAAUUCGGGUUGGGCCGAGAUAAAAAUUGUCUUACCAGAAGCCCAGUUUAUUUUCUAAACAGAUCAUAUUUUUUUAUCUAUACUUAUUUUUUGAACUUAUAAAAAAACCGGUUUAAAAAACAUUGAUAUCGCAAUUUAAAACAACAUUAGGUCUAUUAUUAUAUAUAACGAAAAGCUUAAGCUUAAGCUUAAGAAAGUGAUAAGACAUUAAAGAAGAGAUGAAAAGUAUGGAGGGAAUUCAACACAAAACAGUGAGCGUCAAUGGCAUCAACAUGCACAUAGCCGAGAAAGGGGAAGGUCCUUUGAUUCUCUUCAUCCAUGGCUUCCCUGAGCUCUGGUAUACAUGGCGCCACCAGAUCAACGGUUUAUCUGCCCUUGGCUACCGUGCUUUGGCGCCCGACCUCCGUGGUUACGGUGGAACCGAUGCGCCGGAUUGCGUCGCCGACUACACUUGCUUCCACGUGGUGGGAGACCUCAUCGCGCUUCUGGACACUGAGGCGCCGCCGGAUAAGGAGGAUAAGGUGUUUGUCGUAGGGCACGAUUGGGGUGCCAUCAUUGCUUGGUUCUUGUGCUUGUUUAGGCCGGACCGGGUUAAAGCUUUGUUCAAUUUGAGUGCGCCGUUUAUUCCUUGCGAUCCUCGGUUUAAACCAGUCGAGACUUUGGAAGUUCUCCUUGGGAAGGAUUAUUAUAUCGUUCGGUUUCAGGUUCGAAUAUUUUAUCUUUUUUCCUUUUAUUUUUAAUCAAUUUCGGUAAAAAUACCAUGGCAUUGAACUAAAUGCUAAAUUAGUCUCUAUAGAUUAAAUUAAAGAGUAAAUUAAUUUUUUUUAAUUAAUUCAUUUUUACUAUUAAAAACUGAAAUAUUUUAAUUAAUACAAUAUUGAUACUUUGAAAACUUAAAUAUGCAUAUGAAACUUUGAUUGUAGUUUCAGUGUACACAUGAAAUUUUGAUAGUAAUUCCUCUGCACACAUCUAAAAAAAAGCAUAAUAACUUAUUUAACCCCCAAUUUUAUAAAAAAAAAUCAUUUUAACCUUUCAUCUAAUUUUUCACUUAUUUUCACUCUUAAAUUUGUGAUGUUUGUCAAAUCACUCAAAACAGAUGAAAAAGUUAAUAUCUGUUAAUUAUGUUGACAUGGCAUACAUGUAGAUGGCAAGUUAGCAAUUAAAUAAAAUUUUAAAUAUAACAAAUUUAGAAAAUAUAUAAAUACUUUUUUUAAUAUUUUACCCAAAUCUAUCUAUAUUUGUAAAAUGAGUAACUCGAACUCAUUUUAGACCUGCUCAUUUUUAAAAAAUAUAUAUUAAAAAUAUUAAUAUUAUUUUAAGUUUAAUAUUUAAUAAUUAUAUAUAUAAUUCUUUUAUUAAAAUUAUAUAUAUCUUAAUAUUUUUUUAAUAUUUACAUUAUAAUAUUAUAUAUCACUUUAGAUAUUUUUUUAUUAUAAAUUAUAAAAUAUAUAAAAGAAUAACAUAAUAUAUUAGAAAUUUCAAAAAUGGGCUAGGUUGGGCUAAAUCUAGGCCUUAAAUGUUCAAGUUCGAAUCUUACCAAUAUUUUAAAAGAGUCUUUUUUUUUUGUCAAAUCUCAUUUUUCAGGCUUAAUAUUUUUAUUAAAAUCCUUUCAAAAUUCGAACGAACUUUUGAACUUGGACAGAUAGCCCAUCCCAUGAACAAAUUUAAUUUUAAGUUAAAUUGGAUUUUUGAGUUUAGGAUUGGACUAAUUUGAAUGGUUAACUUUUUAUGUUAAAUCGAAUUUGGUCUAGCUUGAAUUUAAGUUUAUCGGAUUGAGUUCUCGAAUUCGAGUCAUAAUCGAGAGGGUAUAACAGUAAAUUUGGUGCAGGAACCUGGAGAAAUAGAGGCGGAAUUUGCAGAGAUUAGUCUAAGACGAGCAGUUUUGGAGCUGUUAUCAUACCGGAUACCCGACCCACUUUAUUUACCAAAGGGAAAUCUAUUCGGGCAUCCACUGGACUGCCCGGUUAACUUGCCGCCAUGGUUGUCGGACCAAGACGCCGAUUACUACGCUAACCAGUUCCAGGAAACCGGCAUUACCGGUGCCCUCAAUUAUUACCGCAACAUAGAUACGUAUGUUUUUCUUCCCGCUACCAGUCACCUAACAAAUUUAUUUGCUUCCUUAAUUAUGAAAAAUUACAAAAUAAUUAUCUAACUAUUUGUAAAUUUCUUUUUUAAUCACCUAACUAUAAAAAGUUACAAAUUUGUCACUCAACUAUUCCAAUUUGUCUUCUUCUUUUUUUCUCAACCAACUAUAUUGGAUUUCUAGGUGUUUUCAUUUUUACGUUAAUCAGCCGAAGACCAAAAAAGACAAAAUUGAAUAACUAUGAGAUAAUUUUGUAACUUUUCAUAUUUGGAUGAUCAAAAAAGGAAAAACAAAAGUUGGGUGACUACUAAUGUAGAUUACCCAAUUAUUAAUUAUGGGUUUUUCAUGUUAGUUAAAAUACGCUCUAAGUCCCUUUACUUUUUGUAGAUUUAAAAUUUAAUCCUUUAUUUCAGAUUUAAAAAUACAAAUUUAAUUAUUAAUACUGUUAAAAAUUUUCGAUUAAAUACAUAUUCAUUACAGUGUCAUUUUUUUUUAUAAUUAACUAAAGUUGGUUUUGUGAUAGAGACUGGGAACUAUUAGCACCAUGGUGGAAAAGCCAGAUCCAGGUCCCUGUAAAGUUUGCAAUGGGGGACCAUGAUCUCGUAUAUACAAUGCCUGGUGUCAAAGAUUAUAUUCACAACGGUGGGUUUAAAAGGAAUGUGCCCUUUCUUGAAGAAGCUCUUGUCAUCAAUGGAGUUUCUCAUUGGAUCAAUGAGGAAAUACCUGAUCAAAUCAAUCAAUUAUUGUUCGAUUUCUUCUCCAAGUUCAAUUAAAAUUAAAUAACAAUAUCAAAUUUAGUAAAAAUAAAAAGGUCUUACCUUUGUUGUUGUGUUUUAUCUUUCUCGAUAAUCGAAAGAGUUUACGUUAAGACUUAUUUCGAGCAGUGAUUAGAAUUAUUGAAAGAAUUUAUUAUUUCAAAUUAGGCAUGUUCAUGGGCUAGUAGUUUGAGGAUUCGUUUGAAAUUUGAGAGGACUUGAGAAAAAUAUUAGACUUAAAAAAUAUAUUUGGGCAAAAAUAUCAGGCAUGUUUAAAAUAUGAGUCGGGUUUGGGCUCAAACAUUCAAGGCUUGAGUUCGGCUUGGCCUGGCCCGUUUUCUAAGAUUGUAAUAUAUGUUGCAC
This 5144-nucleotide long non-coding RNA is filed under the name Gossypium raimondii (Peruvian cotton). RNAcentral's name for it is "long non-coding RNA (GRAI_LNC011029)". The record is from RNAcentral. Lineage: Eukaryota; Viridiplantae; Streptophyta; Magnoliopsida; Malvales; Malvaceae.